This 758-nucleotide ribosomal RNA is filed under the name Lentilactobacillus buchneri. RNAcentral's name for it is "bacterial SSU rRNA". It matches the Rfam family "Bacterial small subunit ribosomal RNA", at positions 43 to 783 of the family's 1533-position model. The record is from RNAcentral. Lineage: Bacteria; Bacillati; Bacillota; Bacilli; Lactobacillales; Lactobacillaceae.
CGUCUCCGUUAAUGAUUUUAGGUGCUUGCACUUGAAAGAUUUAACAUUGAGACGAGUGGCGAACUGGUGAGUAACACGUGGGUAACCUGCCCUUGAAGUAGGGGAUAACACUUGGAAACAGGUGCUAAUACCGUAUAACAACCAAAACCACCUGGUUUUGGUUUAAAAGACGGCUUCGGCUGUCACUUUAGGAUGGACCCGCGGCGUAUUAGCUUGUUGGUAAGGUAACGGCUUACCAAGGCGAUGAUACGUAGCCGACCUGAGAGGGUAAUCGGCCACAUUGGGACUGAGACACGGCCCAAACUCCUACGGGAGGCAGCAGUAGGGAAUCUUCCACAAUGGACGAAAGUCUGAUGGAGCAACGCCGCGUGAGUGAUGAAGGGUUUCGGCUCGUAAAACUCUGUUGUUGGAGAAGAACAGGUGUCAGAGUAACUGUUGACAUCUUGACGGUAUCCAACCAGAAAGCCACGGCUAACUACGUGCCAGCAGCCGCGGUAAUACGUAGGUGGCAAGCGUUGUCCGGAUUUAUUGGGCGUAAAGCGAGCGCAGGCGGUUUUUUAGGUCUGAUGUGAAAGCCUUCGGCUUAACCGGAGAAGUGCAUCGGAAACCGGGAGACUUGAGUGCAGAAGAGGACAGUGGAACUCCAUGUGUAGCGGUGAAAUGCGUAGAUAUAUGGAAGAACACCAGUGGCGAAGGCGGCUGUCUGGUCUGUAACUGACGCUGAGGCUCGAAAGCAUGGGUAGCGAACAGGAUUAGAU